UGGGGAAUAUUGCACAAUGGGCGCAAGCCUGAUGCAGCCAUGCCGCGUGUAUGAAGAAGGCCUUCGGGUUGUAAAGCACUUUCAGCGGGGAGGAAGGCGAUAAGGUUAAUAACCUUGUCGAUUGACGUUACCCGCAGAAGAAGCACCGGCUAACUCCGUCCCAGCAGCCGCGGCAAUACGGAGGGUGCAAGCGUUAAUCGGAAUUACUGGGCGUAAAGCGCACGCAGGCGGUCUGUCAAGUCGGAUGUGAAAUCCCCGGGCUCAACCUGGGAACUGCAUUGGAAAAUGGCAGGCUAGAGUCAUGUAGAGGGGGGUAGAAUUCCAGGUGUAGCGGUGAAAUGCGUAGAGAUCUGGAGGAAUAGCGGUGGCGAAGGCGGCCCACUGGACAAAGACUGACGCUCAGGUGCGAAAGCGUGGGGAGCAAACAGG
This 429-nucleotide ribosomal RNA is filed under the name Chloroflexota bacterium. RNAcentral's name for it is "Chloroflexi bacterium partial 16S ribosomal RNA". It matches the Rfam family "Bacterial small subunit ribosomal RNA", at positions 355 to 776 of the family's 1533-position model. The record is from RNAcentral. Lineage: Bacteria; Bacillati; Chloroflexota.